RNAcentral lists this long non-coding RNA (217 nucleotides) under Calidris pugnax (ruff). RNAcentral describes it as "lncRNA (ENSCPUG00000000758.1)". The record is from RNAcentral. Lineage: Eukaryota; Metazoa; Chordata; Aves; Charadriiformes; Scolopacidae.
GCAGAACACUUCAACGUCUGCCUUUUGAUUGCAGCCAUGGCUCCUAAAUUAGAGCGUCAUUGUCAAGACUGAUGUAAACCCCGAAUAACUUCACCGAGCGAGGUGUUGAUGUAAAUCUGGAACAGAUCAGCUGGGACUUUUCCAGCAGGGAGACAGUCCCAGAGGGAAACCCUCCAGCCUGCAGUGACAGGGAUGCUCAUCCAACCCUGGUGCUGGU